Molecule: unclassified non-coding RNA, 237 nt
Filed under: rhizosphere metagenome
Description: partial ribosomal RNA internal transcribed spacer region
Source: RNAcentral
GUAGGUGAACCUGCGGAAGGAUCAUUAACCUUACCAUCGGGGGCCGGCCUUGGAUGGCGAACCCGUCAGGGAACGUUAUCCUCCCCGCCCUGUCUGAAUAUACCCAUGAUUUUUGCGUACCUAUUGUUUCCUCGGCAGGCUUGCCUGUCAGCAGGACAUUUCAAACCCUUUGCAAUUGCAGUCAGCGUCAGAAAAACUUAAUAGUUACAACUUUCAACAACGGAUCUCUUGGUUCUG